CUCCUGACGCACAUUCUGCUGGUGGGAGGGGAACUAAGGACCCGAGCCCACUGGUGACGUUUCCUUCACGUGAUCAGAAGCCGACGUGUGCAGAAGUCCCUCUCCUCCAGGUCUUCUGGUCUGUGGUUGUGGGCACCAACCCAGACAAGAAGAGGAAAGACCUGCAGGAUCAGUACAGGC
This 180-nucleotide long non-coding RNA is filed under the name Canis lupus dingo (dingo). Its description in RNAcentral is "lncRNA (ENSCAFG00020007126.1)". Lineage: Eukaryota; Metazoa; Chordata; Mammalia; Carnivora; Canidae. The record is from RNAcentral.